This 253-nucleotide ribosomal RNA is filed under the name uncultured bacterium. Its description in RNAcentral is "partial 16S ribosomal RNA". It matches the Rfam family "Bacterial small subunit ribosomal RNA", at positions 524 to 776 of the family's 1533-position model. The record is from RNAcentral.
UACGUAGGGGGCAAGCGUUGUCCGGAUUUAUUGGGCGUAAAGAGCGUGUAGGCGGCCGUACAGGUCAGCUGUGAAAACUCGAGGCUCAACCUCGAGACGCCGGUGGAAACCAUCAGACUAGAGUCCGGAAGAGGAGAGUGGAAUUCCUGGUGUAGCGGUGAAAUGCGCAGAUAUCAGGAAGAACACCCGUGGCUAAGGCGGCUCUCUAGUACGGUACUGACGCUGAGACGCGAAAGCGUGGGGAGCGAACAGG